RNAcentral lists this ribosomal RNA (474 nucleotides) under uncultured bacterium. Its description in RNAcentral is "partial 16S ribosomal RNA". It matches the Rfam family "Bacterial small subunit ribosomal RNA", at positions 355 to 824 of the family's 1533-position model. The record is from RNAcentral.
UAGGGAAUCUUCCACAAUGGACGCAAGUCUGAUGGAGCAACGCCGCGUGAGUGAAGAAGGUCUUCGGAUCGUAAAGCUCUGUUGUUGGUGAAGAAGGAUAGAGGCAGUAACUGGUCUUUAUUUGACGGUAAUCAACCAGAAAGUCACGGCUAACUACGUGCCAGCAGCCGCGGUAAUACGUAGGUGGCAAGCGUUGUCCGGAUUUAUUGGGCGUAAAGCGAGCGCAGGCGGAAUGAUAAGUCUGAUGUGAAAGCCCACGGCUCAACCGUGGAACUGCAUCGGAACUGUCAUUCUUGANUGCAGAAGAGGAGAGUGAACUCCAUGUGUAGCGGUGGAAUGCGUAGAUAUAUGGAAGAACACCAGUGGCGAAGGCGGCUCUCUGGUCUGCAACUGACGCUGAGGCUCGAAAGCAUGGGUAGCGACAGGAUUAGAUACCCUGGUAGUCCAUGCCGUAAACGAUGAGCGCUAGGUGUU